This is a long non-coding RNA of Antechinus flavipes (yellow-footed antechinus), 1287 nucleotides long. RefSeq lists it as uncharacterized. The transcript is spliced from 2 exons. NCBI's taxonomy places the organism in Eukaryota, Metazoa, Chordata, Mammalia, Dasyuromorphia, Dasyuridae. The record is from RefSeq and is a predicted model, not a curated record.
GCAGUCCUAUACAUGUUAAAUGUCACAGUAUAUCCUAGAUACAAUAUAUGUGUGCAGAACCGAACAGUUCUCUUGUUGCACAGGGAGAAUUGGAUUCAGAAGGUAUAAGUAACCUGGGAAGAAAAACAAAAAUGCAAACAGUUUAUAUUCAUUUCCCAGUGUUCUUUCUUUGGGUGUAGCUGCUUCUGUCCAAAAUUGAGUUAGAGCUUCUCUUUGUCAAAGAAAUCCACUUCCAUCAGAAUGCGUCCUCAUACAGUAUCCUUGUUGAAGUGUAUAAGGUCAUUAUUAUUAUUUUUACCUUGCUUUCCUCCUCUUUUAAAUAGUUGUUGUUGUUUAGUUAUUUGAGUCAUACCUGAAUCUGACCGUACUUGAAGUUUUCUUGACAAAGACACAUGAGUUUUUCAACUCAUUUCAUGGGGAAAUUGAGGCAAAUAGUAUUAAGUAUUUGAAACUGGAUUUGAACUCAAGUCUUCUUGACUUCAAGCCUGGUAUUCUAUUCAUGGCUCCCCCUUGAUGCUUUCCUCUCUUAAGUAGGGAUCAUAAUAACACCUACUCCCAGCGUUAUUGUGAGAAUCUCACUGCAUAUUUGUAAAGCAUAUCUGCCUAGCAAAGUGCUUGGCAAAGAGUGAUCACUCUAUAAGCAUAAAUCACUUACCCUCAUUUUGGUUUUCUCAUUUGUAAAAUGGAGACAAUAAUAGCAGCUCAUUCCCCAGGGUUGUUGUGAGAAUCACACUGCAUGUUUGUAAAGUGCUUAGAAAGCCACCUGGCAAAUAGGGAUGGCUUUGUAAUUGUUAACUACUAUUAUUAUUAUUACAUUCCAAACAUUGUGUUGAGGGAUGGGGUUUACAACAGCCAAGAAAUGCCAUGGAUAGAAUGCAGAGUGGAGACUGCAAAUCUGGCCUCCGAUUUGCCUCAAUUCAUUCUGAAUUUUAACAUAAUCCUUAUAGUGUUCUUUACAAACCGAUUUAAUCUUUUGUGUUAUCUACUCAUUCUCAUCUUCUGUAUAUGUCUCAUGUUCCCACUAUAUCCAGAAUCAUUUCUAGUUAUCCUGAUCUAUAUCUAGCCACUGGAUGCAGAUGACCCCAGAUGCAGGAGAAAAACUGAGAUCAGAACUGUGUAUGGACCAUAGAGUUACCAAUCAACACCAGCUAUAUAGCAUGCCAGAAUAGGAUCUUCUGCCCAGCCCCAGGAAGGAGAUAAUAAAGGAUGAGGACUAUAAGAAAGCUAACCAGGCCCCAGGAAAGGAGACAAGACUUUGAAAGAGACAAUAAAGGACUGGGACUUUAA